Molecule: ribosomal RNA, 497 nt
Filed under: uncultured bacterium
Lineage: Bacteria
Description: partial 16S ribosomal RNA
Rfam family: Bacterial small subunit ribosomal RNA
Source: RNAcentral
GAUGAACGCUGGCGGCGUGCCUAAUACAUGCAAGUCGAGCGAACGGACGAGAAGCUUGCUUCUCUGAUGUUAGCGGCGGACGGGUGAGUAACACGUGGAUAACCUACCUAUAAGACUGGGAUAACUUCGGGAAACCGGAGCUAAUACCGGAUAAUAUUUUGAACCGCAUGGUUCAAAAGUGAAAGACGGUCUUGCUGUCACUUAUAGAUGGAUCCGCGCUGCAUUAGCUAGUUGGUAAGGUAACGGCUUACCAAGGCAACGAUGCAUAGCCGACCUGAGAGGGUGAUAGGCCACACUGGAACUGAGACACGGUCAAGACUCCUACGGGAGGCAGCAGUAGGGAAUCUUACGCAAAGGGCGAAAGCCUGACGGAGCAACGCCGCGUGAGUGAUGAAGGUCUUCGGAUCGUAAAACUCUGUUAUUAGGGAAGAACAUAUGUGUAAGUAACUGUGCACAUCUUGACGGUACCUAAUCAGAAAGCCACGGCUAACUACGUG